GACAGAGGGUGCAAACGUUGUUCGGAAUUACUGGGCGUAAAGCGCGUGUAGGCGGUCUCGCAAGUCGGAUGUGAAAGCCCAGGGCUCAACCCUGGAAGUGCACUCGAUACUGCGAGGCUAGAGUCCCGGAGAGGAUGGUGGAACUCUCGGUGUAGAGGUGAAAUUCGUAGAUAUCGAGAAGAACACCGGUGGCGAAGGCGGCCAUCUGGACGUGACUGACGCUGAGACGCGAAAGCGUGGGGAGCAACAGG
RNAcentral lists this ribosomal RNA (251 nucleotides) under uncultured bacterium. RNAcentral describes it as "partial 16S ribosomal RNA". It matches the Rfam family "Bacterial small subunit ribosomal RNA", at positions 524 to 775 of the family's 1533-position model. The record is from RNAcentral.